This 494-nucleotide ribosomal RNA is filed under the name uncultured bacterium. RNAcentral's name for it is "bacterial SSU rRNA". It matches the Rfam family "Bacterial small subunit ribosomal RNA", at positions 903 to 1397 of the family's 1533-position model. The record is from RNAcentral.
AAAGGAAUAGACGGGGACCCGCACAAGCGGUGGAGCAUGUGGUUUAAUUCGAAGCAACGCGAAGAACCUUACCAAAUCUUGACAUCCCUCUGACAGCAUAUGUAAUGUAUGUUUCCUUCGGGACAUAGGUGACAGGUGGUGCAUGGUUGUCGUCAGCUCGUGUCGUGAGAUGUUGGGUUAAGUCCCGCAACGAGCGCAACCCUUAUCUUUAGUAGCCAGCGGUCUGGCCGGGCACUCUAGAGAGACUGCCGGGGAUAACCCGGAGGAAGGCGGGGAUGACGUCAAAUCAUCAUGCCCCUUAUGAUUUGGGCUACACACGUGCUACAAUGGCGUAAACAAAGGGAAGCGAAAUGGUGACAUGGAGCAAAUCUCAAAAAUAACGUCUCAGUUCGGAUUGUAGUCUGCAACUCGACUACAUGAAGCUGGAAUCGCUAGUAAUCGCGAAUCAGAAUGUCGCGGUGAAUACGUUCCCGGGUCUUGCACACACCGCCCGU